AGGAGAGUUUGAUCCUGGCUCAGGAUGAACGCUAGCGGCAGGCUUAACACAUGCAAGUCGAGGGGCAGCGCGGGGUAGCAAUACUCUGGCGGCGACCGGCGAAAGGGUGAGUAACGCGUGAGCAACGUGCCCGUAUGUGGGGGAUAGUCGAUGGAAACGUCGCGUAAUACCCCGUAACACAUUUCCCCGCAUGAGGAGAUGUUGAAAGAUUUAUUGCAUACGGAUCGGCUCGCGUGCCAUUAGGUAGACGGCGGGGUAACGGCCCACCGUGCCGACGAUGGCUAGGGGUUCUGAGAGGAAGGUCCCCCACAUUGGAACUGAGACACGGUCCAGACUCCUACGGGAGGCAGCAGUGAGGAAUAUUGGACAAUGGCCGGAAGGCUGAUCCAGCCAUGCCGCGUGCGGGAGGACGGCCCUAUGGGUUGUAAACCGCUUUUGCGAGGGAGCAAUAAGAGUCACGUGUGGCUCGAUGAGAGUACCUCGCGAAUAAGCAUCGGCUAACUCCGUGCCAGCAGCCGCGGUAAUACGGAGGAUGCAAGCGUUAUCCGGAUUUAUUGGGUUUAAAGGGUGCGUAGGCGGUUUGCUAAGCGGGAGGUGAAAUGCCGGCGCUCAACGUCGGAAGUGCCUCCCGAACUGGUGGACUGGAAUGACUCUGCCGUGGGAGGAAUGUGUAGUGUAGCGGUGAAAUGCUUAGAGAUUACACAGAACACCGAUUGCGAAGGCAUCUCACGAAGGGUUGAUUGACGCUGAGGCACGAAAGCGUGGGGAUCAAACAGGAUUAGAUACCCUGGUAGUCCCCU
This 800-nucleotide ribosomal RNA is filed under the name uncultured Bacteroidota bacterium. RNAcentral describes it as "bacterial SSU rRNA". It matches the Rfam family "Bacterial small subunit ribosomal RNA", at positions 1 to 799 of the family's 1533-position model. Lineage: Bacteria; Pseudomonadati; Bacteroidota. The record is from RNAcentral.